AUGUAUUUUUAUUUUUAUUUUGAAUAAAAAAAAAAAAAAAAAACACUAACUUUCGAUUUCAUAAAUUUUGAUUUUAUUUUUGUGUUUUGUUAUGACAAAGAAAAUAAUGCAAGAUACCAGAUAAUAAUUCUAUCAAAGUUUUUUGGUUUACGUGAAUGGUUAUAAUAUUGUUCAAGUAUAUAAAUUGGCGUUAAUCAUCAACAUUUCAAUAGUCAUCAGUCUCAACACGCAUAGUAGAACUAAAUUGAAAAGUUAAAUUUAAAGAUUCAAACUUUAAAUGUUCAAAAAAUGUAAGAAUUAAGAUUGAAAAUGCCACCAUUAAAAAAAUAUUAAAACUCUGGUAGCAACCAUAUAUUUACAGAAUGUAUAAAAAAAAUUUGUGAAGUGUGGCUACACGUUGACCAGUCACAAGCCGAGCAGUCCAUGGUGAAUAAAUGAGAAAAACCCAUUCUAAGAAUUUAUUUUCAAUCAAAUUACGAAAAUAACAACACCUACAAGCUGUUUUUUUCCAAUUUAAGAAUAUAGAAAAUUAAUCAAAACGAAAUAAUUAUCGAUUUGUUUAUCAUGAAACCUUUCAAUAGAAUUUCAAUGUUAAUAGAAACUACUUUCGAUCAAUCCUACUAUUGACAGUAAUAAGUUUCUUAACACAGGAACUAGAUGGAACAACUGAUGAAGAUAAAGACGUUAAAAGCUGAACAGUAGAAUAAUUUUUAUUUGGAUGGCAUCUAUUACAUUUUUUUUUAAAUUUAUUUAGUUAAUUAA
Hydra vulgaris (swiftwater hydra) is the source of this 762-nucleotide non-coding RNA. NCBI's taxonomy places the organism in Eukaryota, Metazoa, Cnidaria, Hydrozoa, Anthoathecata, Hydridae. The record is from RefSeq and is a predicted model, not a curated record.